CAGAGUUUGAUCCUGCUCAGGAUGAACGCUGGCGGCGUGCUUAACACAUGCAAGUCGAACGGGAAACAUUUCAUUGAAGCUUCGGCAGAUUUGGUCUGUUUCUAGUGGCGGACGGGUGAGUAACGCGUGGGUAACCUGCCUUAUACUGGGAGAUAACAGCCAGAAAUGGCUGCUAAUACCGCAUAAGCGCACAGGACCGCAUGGUCUGGUGUGAAAAACUCCGGUUGUAUAAGAUGGACCCGCGUUGG
Molecule: ribosomal RNA, 248 nt
Filed under: uncultured bacterium
Lineage: Bacteria
Description: partial 16S ribosomal RNA
Rfam family: Bacterial small subunit ribosomal RNA
Source: RNAcentral